GCACGGUCCACGAUGAAAGAAAGUUUUUUUGCACGAUCCGAUGGUCUACGUUCAUCCCGAUCCAGAUCGAACGGCUGAUAACAUUCUCGAGUGUAAUAAGGAUUCUUGGGCGUAAUCUGACGGCCCAGAUUCCAUCCAUCACGUGAUCCAAUAGCUGAGGAUGCUUUCAACUUUGAAUAGGAGAUCAGAGAUGCGAUCUGACA
RNAcentral lists this long non-coding RNA (203 nucleotides) under Elaeis guineensis (African oil palm). RNAcentral's name for it is "long non-coding RNA (EGUI_LNC022243)". Lineage: Eukaryota; Viridiplantae; Streptophyta; Magnoliopsida; Arecales; Arecaceae. The record is from RNAcentral.